GGCUGGGUAGCUCAGUUGGUCAGAGCAGCGGAAUCAUAAUCCGCGGGUCGGCGGUUCAAGUCCGCCUCCAGCCACCA
RNAcentral lists this transfer RNA (77 nucleotides) under Kiritimatiellaceae bacterium. RNAcentral describes it as "tRNA-Met". It matches the Rfam family "tRNA". Rfam says of the family: Transfer RNA (tRNA) molecules are approximately 80 nucleotides in length. The record is from RNAcentral. RNAcentral also lists the same sequence under 2 other names. Lineage: Bacteria; Pseudomonadati; Kiritimatiellota; Kiritimatiellia; Kiritimatiellales; Kiritimatiellaceae.